Molecule: ribosomal RNA, 450 nt
Filed under: uncultured bacterium
Lineage: Bacteria
Description: partial 16S ribosomal RNA
Rfam family: Bacterial small subunit ribosomal RNA
Source: RNAcentral
GUGGGGAAUAUUGGACAAUGGGCGAAAGCCUGAUCCAGCCAUGCCGCGUGUGUGAAGAAGGUCUUCGGAUUGUAAAGCACUUUAAGUUGGGAGGAAGGGCAGUAAGUUAAUACCUUGCUGUUUUGACGUUACCGACAGAAUAAGCACCGGCUAACUUCGUGCCAGCAGCCGCGGUAAUACGAAGGGUGCAAGCGUUAAUCGGAAUUACUGGGCGUAAAGCGCGCGUAGGUGGUAUUGUAAGUUGGAGGUGAAAUCCCCGGGCUCAACCUGGGAACUGCCUACAAAACUGCAUGACUAGAGUACGGUAGAGGGUAGUGGAAGUUCCUGUGUAGCGGUGAAAUGCGUAGAUAUAGGAAGGAACACCAGUGGCGAAGGCGACUACCUGGACUGAUACUGACACUGAGGUGCGAAAGCGUGGGGAGCAAACAGGAUUAGAAACCCGGGUAGUCC